GAUGAACGCUGGCGGCGUGCUUAACACAUGCAAGUCGAACGGAAAGGCCCCAGCUUGCUGGGGUACUCGAGUGGCGAACGGGUGAGUAACACGUGGGUGAUCUGCCCUGCACUUUGGGAUAAGCUUGGGAAACUGGGUCUAAUACCGAAUAUGACCACUUCUUGGAUGUUGUGGUGGAAAGCUUUUGCGGUGUGGGAUGAGCCUGCGGCCUAUCAGCUUGUUGGUGGGGUAAUGGCCUACCAAGGCGGCGACGGGUAUCCGCCCUGAGAGGGUGUACGGACACAUUGGGACUGAGAUACGGCCCAGACUCCUACGGGAGGCAGCAGUGGGGAAUAUUGCACAAUGGGCGCAAGCCUGAUGCAGCGACGCCGCGUGGGGGAUGAAGGCCUUCGGGUUGUAAACUCCUUUCGCUAUCGACGAAGCCACUUGUGGUGACGGUAGGUAGAUAAGAAGCACCGGCUAACUACGUGCCAGCCGCCGGGGUAA
This 486-nucleotide ribosomal RNA is filed under the name uncultured bacterium. Its description in RNAcentral is "partial 16S ribosomal RNA". It matches the Rfam family "Bacterial small subunit ribosomal RNA", at positions 28 to 523 of the family's 1533-position model. The record is from RNAcentral.